CUACGGGGGGCUGCAGUGAGGAAUAUUGCGCAAUGGGGGAAACCCUGUCGCAGCGACGCCGCGUGGAUGAUGAAGGCCUUCGGGUCGUAAAAUCCUGUCAGAAGGAAAGAAGUGUAUGGUAGCUAAUAUCUGCCAUACUUGACGGUACCUUCAAAGGAAGCACCGGCUAGCUCCGUGCCAGCAGCCGCGGUAAUACGGAGGGUGCAAGCGUUGUUCGGAAUUACUGGGCGUAAAGCGCGCGUAGGCGGUUUUAUAAGUCAGAUGUGAAAGUCCACGGCUCAACCAUGGAAGUGCAUUUGAAACUGUAAGACUUGAGUAUUGGAGGGGGUAGUGGAAUUCCCGGUGUAGAGGUGAAAUUCGUAGAUAUCGGGAGGAAUACCGGUGGCGAAGGCGACUAUCUGGCCAAAUACUGACGCUGAGGUGCGAAAGCGUGGGGAGCAAACAGGAUUAGAUACCCGGGUAGUC
RNAcentral lists this ribosomal RNA (465 nucleotides) under uncultured bacterium. Its description in RNAcentral is "partial 16S ribosomal RNA". It matches the Rfam family "Bacterial small subunit ribosomal RNA", at positions 339 to 795 of the family's 1533-position model. The record is from RNAcentral.